CUAAAUGUGUGAUAAAUAUAUUGUUUAUGUUUAGUAUAUUAAAUAUAAUAUUUGCUUAUGUUAUCUCUUUACAUAUUUAAUAAGAAAAAUUUUAUGCUUUUUCUAUUACUUUUUUUACAAUUAUAGAAAAAGAGAAAUUAAUUAUAUAUUUUUUUUUGGUAGGAUUUUUAGGAAAAGAAAAAGUUAGGAAAAAGAAAACAUGGAAGAAGAAAAUGUAGCUCAACCACAACAUAAUUCUUUGUUUAACGACAACGACUUCAUGUUCAAUAAGCCUUUUCCUUAAGCAGCCAAAACAUGGAUGAGAGAGCAAUGCAUUUUGAAUGAAGUAGUAAAGUCUAGACCCAACAAUAUUCAUUUGUAUAUGUUUGUUUUACUAGUUGAAUAUAAAUAUAUGAUAUAGAUUUUGGAAUUAAUUAGACUUCAUUAUCUUACUAUCUUCUUUCAUUUAAGUUCAAAAGUAAAGAUUUUCCUCUUCUUUAUUCCAUUAAUUCUUAUAAUGAAAAAUUAUAUUCAAAUAUCUUGUAGCAAACUCUAGAUAUACUUUAUUGAAUUACAAUAUCUUGUUAACUCUAUAAAAUAAAUGAUUUAUUGAUUAACUUAUCUUAAUUCAAGAACUUACAAAAUUUUCCAACCUCUUACAAUUUGCAUUAAUGUAUGAUUGAUUAAGCCACAAUAAACAAUACAUAUAAAGAUUAAACAUCAAUGAAGAAGAAUAACAUAACAUUGUAUAUAAAUAAAUAUAAUUAAAAUAUACAACAGAAUUUGGUGAUUAUAUCUAAUCCUAACAAAUAUGGAGUUGAAUAGCAUGAAAUAUAAACAAAAAAUGAAGAAGAAAUGAAGGUAGAAGUCAUGGAGGGUGUCUUUAGUGGAUGGAUGCCCCAAUCUUAUCUUCUUCUGCACUUGAUUCCUUUUAUUUCCGUUUUAUGUUCUUAUAUGAGAUUUCAAGUUAAAAGGUACUUGAGACAAAAUUUAUUGGACUUGUUGGUGAUCUAUAAGCGAUAUUCCCAUGGUCUCUACUUUCAAAUCUCAUUUGACUAUGAUUAGCUCUAUUUAGACCAGACUUUAUAUUCAAGAUAUGUUGCUCUUUGAUUUAUUAUUUCACUGAGUAAUUUUUUUUUUACUCAGGUUAAUUCUAACUAAGCAAGAAGCC
This 1150-nucleotide long non-coding RNA is filed under the name Vigna radiata. RNAcentral's name for it is "long non-coding RNA (VRAD_LNC003794)". The record is from RNAcentral. Lineage: Eukaryota; Viridiplantae; Streptophyta; Magnoliopsida; Fabales; Fabaceae.